GACGAACGCUGGCGGCGUGCCUAAUACAUGCAAGUAGAACGCACAGUUUAUACCGUAGCUUGCUACACCAUAGAGUGUGAGUUGCGAACGGGUGAGUAACGCGUAGGUAACCUGCCUGGUAGCGGGGGAUAACUAUUGGAAACGAUAGCUAAUACCGCAUAAUAUUAAUUAUUGCAUGAUAAUUAAUUGAAAGGUGCAAUUGCACCACUACCAGAGGGACCUGCGUUGUAUUAGCUAGUAGGUGAGGUAACGGCUCACCUAGGCGACGAUACAUAGCCGACCUGAGAGGGUGAUCGGCCACAACGGGAAUGGGAAACGGCCCAGGCUCCUACGGGGGGGAGCAGGAGGGAAUCUUCGGCAAUGGGGGAAAGUCUGACCGAACAACGCCGGGUGAGUGAAGAAGGUUUUCGGAUCGUAAAGCUCUGUUGUAUGAGAAGAACGGGUGUGAGAGUGGAAAGUUCACACUGUGACGGUAUCUUACCAGAAAGGGACGGCUAACUACGUG
RNAcentral lists this ribosomal RNA (505 nucleotides) under uncultured bacterium. RNAcentral describes it as "partial 16S ribosomal RNA". It matches the Rfam family "Bacterial small subunit ribosomal RNA", at positions 28 to 507 of the family's 1533-position model. The record is from RNAcentral.